AACGAACGCUGGCGGCAUGCCUAACACAUGCAAGUCGAACGAGACCUUCGGGUCUAGUGGCGCACGGGUGCGUAACGCGUGGGAACCUGCCCUUAGGUUCGGAAUAACUCCCCGAAAGGGGUGCUAAUACCGGAUAAUGUCUUCGGACCAAAGAUUUAUCGCCUUUGGAUGGGCCCGCGUUGGAUUAGCUAGUUGGUAGGGUAAGAGCCUACCAAGGCGACGAUCCAUAGCUGGUCUGAGAGGAUGAUCAGCCACACUGGGACUGAGACACGGCCCAGACUCCUACGAGAAGCAGCAGUGGGGAAUAUUGGACAAUGGGCGAAAGCCUGAUCCAGCAAUGCCGCGUGAGUGAUGAAGGCCUUAGGGUUGUAAAGCUCUUUUACCCGGGAUGAUAAUGACAGUACCGGGAGAAUAAGCUCCGGCUAACUCCGUG
This 433-nucleotide ribosomal RNA is filed under the name uncultured bacterium. RNAcentral describes it as "partial 16S ribosomal RNA". It matches the Rfam family "Bacterial small subunit ribosomal RNA", at positions 29 to 507 of the family's 1533-position model. The record is from RNAcentral.